This is a long non-coding RNA of Asparagus officinalis (garden asparagus), 273 nucleotides long. RefSeq lists it as uncharacterized. The transcript has 2 exons. NCBI's taxonomy places the organism in Eukaryota, Viridiplantae, Streptophyta, Magnoliopsida, Asparagales, Asparagaceae. The record is from RefSeq and is a predicted model, not a curated record.
UCUCACUAUUACGUGAAGUUUCAUCAAGGUUGGCGUGCAAGUGAAAUGUCAUACUCUGAUUGUAGCUACAGGAGCUACUGCUAAAAGGGUUAGAUUACCACGUGAAGAUGAAUUUUGGAGUAGGGGAAUAAGUGCUUGUGCAAUAUGUGAUGGUUCUAUAAUGUUUCUGCUAUCAUCAACUUGGUGUAAUGUUUUUUGCUAGAUGGUUGCUAUCAUCAACUUGGUGUAAUGUUUUUAUGAAUUUUGGAGUAGGAGUUUCUGCUAGUUCUUGCA